CUCGCCCGGCUCAGUAACACGUGGAUAUCUGCCCAAAGGUCCGGGAUAACCCGGGAAACUGGGGAUAAGACCGGAUAGAUCACCUAUGCUGGAAGGCUUGGUGGUUAAACGUGAGGCCUUUGGAUGGGUCUGCGGCGGAUUAGGUUGACGCCGGUGUAACGUACCGGCGUGCCUGUAAUCCGUACGGGUUGUGGGAGCAAGAGCCCGGAGAUGGAUUCUGAGACACGAAUCCAGGCCCUACGGGGCGCAGCAGGCGCGAAAACUCUACAAUGCAGGCAACUGCGAUAGGGGGACAUCGAGUGGCAUCCACCUUGGGUGCCUGUCCCACCGUCUAAAAAACGGUGGUUACAAGGGCCGGGCAAGACCGGUGCCAGCCGCCGCGGUAAUACCGGCGGCUCGAGUGGUGGCCGAUAUUAUUGAGUCUAAAGGGUCCGUAGCCGGCUUCGCAAGUCUCCCGGGAAAUCCAGCGGCUUAACCGUUGGGCCCCGUGGGAUACUGCGUUGCUUGGGACUGGGAGAGGUGGGAGGUACUCGAGGGGUAGGGGUGAAAUCCUGUAAUCCUUCGGGGACCACCGGUGGCGAAGGCGUCCUACCAGAACAGGUCCGACGGUGAGGGACGAAAGCUAGGGGCACGAACCGGAUUAGAUACCCGGGUAGUCCUAGCCGUAAACGAUGCCCGCUAGGUGUCACGGCGGUCGUGAAUCGCCGUGGUGCCGUAGGGAAGCCGCGAAGCGGCCACUUGGGAGUAAGCCGCGAG
RNAcentral lists this ribosomal RNA (756 nucleotides) under uncultured soil archaeon. Its description in RNAcentral is "bacterial SSU rRNA". It matches the Rfam family "Archaeal small subunit ribosomal RNA", at positions 80 to 847 of the family's 1478-position model. The record is from RNAcentral.